RNAcentral lists this ribosomal RNA (365 nucleotides) under uncultured bacterium. RNAcentral describes it as "bacterial SSU rRNA". It matches the Rfam family "Bacterial small subunit ribosomal RNA", at positions 64 to 428 of the family's 1533-position model. The record is from RNAcentral.
GGACGGGAUUGAGGAGCUUGCUCUUCAUGAGAGUGGCGCACGGGUGCGUAACACGUAUGUAACCUACCCAUAUCAGGGGGAUAGCCUCUCGAAAGAGAGAUUAAGCCCGCAUAAAAUCACACUAUGGCAUCAUAGAAUGAUCAAAUAUUUAUAGGAUAUGGAUGGGCAUGCGGAACAUUAGCUAGUUGGUAAGGUAACGGCCUACCAAGCCUUUGAUCCGUAGCUGGUCUGAGAGGAUGAUCAGCCACACUGGGACUGAGACACGGCCCAGACUCCUACGGGAGGCAGCAGUGGGGAAUAUUGGACAAUGGGCGCAAGCCUGAUCCAGCAAUGCCGCGUGAGUGAUGAAGGCCUUCGGGUUGUAA